CACGUAGGGGGCAAGCGUUGUCCGGAUUUAUUGGGCGUAAAGAGCUCGUAGGCGGUUCGGUAAGUCGGGUGUGAAACCUCCAGGCUCAACCUGGAGAGGCCACCUGAUACUGCUGUGACUCGAGUCCGGUAGGGGAGCGUGGAAUUCCUGGUGUAGCGGUGAAAUGCGCAGAUAUCAGGAGGAACACCAGUGGCGAAGGCGACUCACUGGACACGUAUUGACGCUGAGGUGCGAAAGCGUGGGGAGCAAACAGG
Molecule: ribosomal RNA, 254 nt
Filed under: uncultured bacterium
Lineage: Bacteria
Description: partial 16S ribosomal RNA
Rfam family: Bacterial small subunit ribosomal RNA
Source: RNAcentral